This 300-nucleotide ribosomal RNA is filed under the name Crotalus pricei miquihuanus. Its description in RNAcentral is "partial 16S ribosomal RNA". Lineage: Eukaryota; Metazoa; Chordata; Lepidosauria; Squamata; Viperidae. The record is from RNAcentral.
GCUGACAUAACAACUAAAUCACAAAUAUACUUUACUGAAAAAAACAAACCAUUUGACCAACCCAGUAGAUGCGAUCGAACAGCCACACGUCACAACAAAGUACCGUAAGGGAACCNCCAUCAAGCAAUAAACAGCAAAGACUAACCCUUGUACCUUUCGCAUCAUGAUUCAGCAAGAACAUAAGGACAAGAAGAAUCACAGCCCUUAACCCCGAAACCGAACGAGCUAUUUUUAAGCAGUCUAACGGACGCACCCUUCUAUGUAGCAAAUAGUGGGAAGACUUGAAAAUAGAGGUGAAAG